Molecule: ribosomal RNA, 248 nt
Filed under: uncultured bacterium
Lineage: Bacteria
Description: partial 16S ribosomal RNA
Rfam family: Bacterial small subunit ribosomal RNA
Source: RNAcentral
GCAAGUCGAACGCGAAAGUCUCUUCGGAGACGUGUAGAGUGGCGCGCGGGUGUGUAACGCGUGGAUAAUCUACCUAUUGGUACGGGACAACAGUUGGAAACGACUGCUAAUACCGUAUAAGCUGGAAACGGGAAAGGGGGCCUGUUCUUGAAAGCUCUCGCUAGUAGAUGAGUCCGCGUUUGAUUAGCUAGACGGUGGGGUAACGGCCUACCGAGGCAACGAUGAAUAGCAGGCCUGAGAGGGUGGCC